This 72-nucleotide transfer RNA is filed under the name Ovis aries (sheep). It matches the Rfam family "tRNA". From Rfam's summary of the family: Transfer RNA (tRNA) molecules are approximately 80 nucleotides in length. Lineage: Eukaryota; Metazoa; Chordata; Mammalia; Artiodactyla; Bovidae. The record is from Rfam by way of RNAcentral.
UCCCUGGUGGCUCAGAGGUUAAAGCGUCUGCCUGCAAUGAGGGAGACCCAGGUUCAAUCCCUGGGUUGGGAA